GUGCUUGCUUUGGCAGCACAUAUUAAAAUUGGAACAAUUUUAAGAUGAGCGUGGCCCUUGUGCAAGGAUGACGUGCAAAUUUGUGAAACGUUCCAUAUUUUU
Pteropus vampyrus (large flying fox) is the source of this 102-nucleotide small nuclear RNA. The record is from Ensembl. NCBI's taxonomy places the organism in Eukaryota, Metazoa, Chordata, Mammalia, Chiroptera, Pteropodidae.